UCGACUGUGCUAACGGUGGCUCUAGUAAUAAAAGGAAAAAAAAGUCCAAAAGUUGUAGUGCUUAAAGUAUGAAUACCUCACCUCGAUGGUUUUAUAGAUAACUCCUUUAUACAGCUUCGUGUCUUAUAUAAGGUAUACGUCACCUGAUUGUCUUGCUGUGUUGUGUAUUUUUCUCCUCAUAUUCACCUUUGGAAAGAAAGAGAAAUUUAAGAACUCCUGCCAUUGUAAUACUACUUCCACCUUGGUAUCUCUCU
This 254-nucleotide ribosomal RNA is filed under the name Triticum aestivum (bread wheat). RNAcentral's name for it is "partial small subunit ribosomal RNA". The record is from RNAcentral. Lineage: Eukaryota; Viridiplantae; Streptophyta; Magnoliopsida; Poales; Poaceae.